This is a long non-coding RNA of Gavialis gangeticus (Gharial), 164 nucleotides long. RefSeq lists it as uncharacterized. NCBI's taxonomy places the organism in Eukaryota, Metazoa, Chordata, Crocodylia, Gavialidae. The record is from RefSeq and is a predicted model, not a curated record. The transcript has 3 exons.
CUUAGAGUGACAUUGGAUGCCUGUUUUGAGAAAUGUGAGGAUGUAUGUACAGAAAAUCUUCCCUAUAUUCAAUGCACGUUUUACAGGUUUCUUUUGAGAUGCAUAUUUAGCCUUUUGUUUUCUUUAGCUGCUAGGUCAAUUGAAAUACAUAUAGGGUUUCCUUG